RNAcentral lists this small nucleolar RNA (82 nucleotides) under Chlamydotis macqueenii (Macqueen's bustard). Its description in RNAcentral is "Chlamydotis undulata macqueenii Small nucleolar RNA SNORD121A". It matches the Rfam family "Small nucleolar RNA SNORD121A". The record is from Rfam by way of RNAcentral. Lineage: Eukaryota; Metazoa; Chordata; Aves; Otidiformes; Otididae.
GUUCAAAAUGUAGUGAUGUCUUUUCCAAGCACAUAUCGGAUUGCUCUGUGUGGAAAAUGACUGUUGCUGAGUGAUUUUGUGU